UGGCAAAGCCUAUAUAUAAGCAGCAUCUCAGUGAAGCCAGGACCCUGCUGUAACAGUUACAUCGAAACAUUUCGCCUUUGGACUUCGUUGAUCUAUCUGGAUCAGGAGGUCUGCUUGGCAUUAGCAAGCACAAGGGCCGCCAGUGACUUUCUCCUGACCCCAGCGGCACUAUCUUCCCUCUCUAAAGAACACACGCUAAGCCUGGGGCUCAAGACUUCUUACUUUCAUUUUCACUAGUUGCUUUGUUCCCAGCCUACUUGCUUUGAUGUAAAUCUGUAGUCUUUCAGCAAGUCAAGGGCCAGGCUGAAAUCCCAGAGCAAAUUCCUCCAAGGCCAAAGAAGGAAAUGUUCAACAGUCUUUGGAAACCAAUAACCAAGAACAUUAGGUUAUCUUAUUUGGAUGUUAAUAUAUUGGAUGUUACAUAUUUUUCACCAAAAUUAGAUAUUUUAUGGAUUAGCUGUGUAUCUUCAUUACACCACAUUCUCUAACAAAGGUUAAAAGUGCGUGGAUAGGUCCAUGUUUUAAGUAGACUCCACAUUUUUUUAAAGUAUAAGGUUGUUCAAAACCAAGUCAAAGGGAAUACUGCCAUAGAGGCUCUGGUGUUAUAAACUUCACUUAAAUUGCUGUAUAGCUUAUGAUUUCUUGAGGAGAUGGCUAGUUCAACUAAGGGAAUUACACAGAACUAUGCCAAAAACAUGGGGGGAAACAUGGAAACUCUUUGCAUAGAAAC
Vicugna pacos (alpaca) is the source of this 730-nucleotide non-coding RNA. NCBI's taxonomy places the organism in Eukaryota, Metazoa, Chordata, Mammalia, Artiodactyla, Camelidae. The record is from RefSeq and is a predicted model, not a curated record.